UACGUAGGGGGCGAGCGUUGUCCGGAUUUAUUGGGCGUAAAGAGCUCGUAGGCGGUUUGGUAAGUCGGGUGUGAAAACUCGGGGCUUAACCCCGAGCCUGCAGUGGAUACGGGCAGACUAGAGGUAGGUAGGGGAGAAUGGAAUUCCCAGUGUAGCGGUGAAAUGCGUAGAUAUUGGGAGGAACACCAGUGGCGAAGGCGGCUCACUGGACUGGUACUGACGCUGAUGCGCGAAAGCGUGGGGAGCAAACGGGG
This 254-nucleotide ribosomal RNA is filed under the name uncultured bacterium. RNAcentral describes it as "partial 16S ribosomal RNA". It matches the Rfam family "Bacterial small subunit ribosomal RNA", at positions 524 to 777 of the family's 1533-position model. The record is from RNAcentral.